RNAcentral lists this ribosomal RNA (117 nucleotides) under cyanobacterium TDX16. Lineage: Bacteria; Bacillati; Cyanobacteriota. The record is from RNAcentral.
GUUGGUGGCUAGAGCGGUGAGGGUACACCCGGUCCCAUCUCGAACCCGGAAGUUAAGCUCACCAGCGCAGAUGGUACUGUCGGGGCGACCUGGUGGGAGAGUAUGCCGCUGCCAACG